GACAGAGGGUGCAAACGUUGUUCGGAAUUACUGGGCGUAAAGCGCGUGUAGGCGGCCAUGCAAGUCGGGUGUGAAAUCCCACGGCUCAACCGUGGAAGUGCACUCGAAACUACGUGGCUGGAGUUCUGGAGAGGAAGGUGGAAUGCUCGGUGUAGAGGUGAAAUUCGUAGAUAUCGAGUGGAACACCGGUGGCGAAGGCGGCCUUCUGGACAGAAACUGACGCUGAGACGCGAAAGCGUGGGGAGCAAACAGG
Molecule: ribosomal RNA, 253 nt
Filed under: uncultured bacterium
Lineage: Bacteria
Description: partial 16S ribosomal RNA
Rfam family: Bacterial small subunit ribosomal RNA
Source: RNAcentral